ACAAAAACAAACCGAAAAGGUGGCUGGGAGUCGUAGUCCAGGCUGCCUGUCUGGCCUCUCCCGCUCCGGAAGAAUAUGGCUGCUUGCAACCUUCGGACCACACUUCCCGGCGAUCCCAGCGGCCCGUCUUUUCCGCCCUCCCCUCCUUUCCUCCGCCCCGCGCAGAGCUCGGUGAGGAAGGGGGAAAGACAGUCUUUCGGGGAAGGGGCUGGGUGGAGUCUCGCGAGGUGCGGGAACUGGAUGGGGGCCUGAAGCAUUAUGGGAGGUAAUGCUGGGAAGGGGCGGUGGCUGGAUCCCCACCACACCACCUCCACCGUGCUAGGUUUAACCCCUUCUGCGCUUCUCUCUUGCGGGCCGUCGCGCUGUUAAGGGUGGGGAUUGACAACUGGUAGCUCAACCCCCACCCCCCACUUAGUGCCUUUCUCCGCCUAAGCGAUUCUCACGGACACUUCUUGUAGGUGACAAGUGACAGGACUUUCCCUUUUGGUCCUCCGCUAAAUGACUCACUGCCGCAUAAUAAUGAGACAAAAAGAAACUCAUACCAGUAAAACGGUUAUUUCAUGAUUGAGGGACCUAGACAGUUUCCCAUUUCCUCCUGUGCUUUCAUGCCGCUUUGUGUUUGCAGAAGCUGUAUUUGCAGAAGCUGCACCCCAGCCCACAGUGUUCUUACCACCUAGUGAACUUGGUGAUAUGGGUGGUGUAAAGAACUUGGACUUAGGGGCCAUACUUUCCAGAAUGCACCUGAGGCCUUUUUUGAGGCAGUACCCUGGAGAGAACACAGAACCUGGGGUCAAACGGACCUAGACCAGCCAGUCCAGGUUAUCAGCGUAAUACCUAACAGCAUUAUUGAGAUUAAAAUCAACAUAAAACACCUGGCAUGUUGGAAGAGGGUGUGAAUGGGUAUAUAUAAUUUGGCUCCUGGCAUAGAGCUAGUGUUUAAUAGGUACCGGGCUGAGAGGCAAUGGGCAAUGUAUUUACCCUCUCUGAGCCUUGGUUGCAGAGCACGAAAUGAAAUGAGAUUCAGAGUACCCAACACAUAGGUUUUCUGUGCCUGGUUGUUGAAUCAGCCAAUAUCCAGAAACAUUCCUAGAAUCAGCCUUAAAUUGGAUAAUGGCCAGUUCUUUAAAAUUAGGGAGGAAGGGUCAGUGGCCAUAUUUGAAAGUUUUUCCCUCUGAGGAAGCACACUCUUCACUCCCUGAGGUCAGCACACGGGAGAGCCAAUGCUUAGGGAAGACCAACACCAUGCUGCCCAAGCCUAACAAGGAGUUCAGUGCUCCUGCUUGCUUGCUUGCUUUUUAUGGAAGUUCCCAGGCUAGGGGUCAAAUGGGAGUUGUAGCUGCCAGCCUACACCACAGCCACAGCAAUUUGGGAUCCAAGCCAAGUCUGCAGUCUAUACCACAGCUCACAUCAAUGCUGGAUCCUUAACCCACUGAGCGAGGCACGGGAUCAAACCCACAUCCUCACGGAUACUAGUCAAAUUCGUUAUCGCUGAGCCCCAACAGGAACUCCAACGGUGAAAUAAGGUGCUUUAAAAUCUUCUGUCCCCUUCUAACUUCACUCCAACAGAGGGAAAGGAAGAAUCCCACCUCCACAACCCAAAAA
RNAcentral lists this long non-coding RNA (1602 nucleotides) under Sus scrofa (pig). Its description in RNAcentral is "lncRNA (ENSSSCG00000053536.1)". Lineage: Eukaryota; Metazoa; Chordata; Mammalia; Artiodactyla; Suidae. The record is from RNAcentral.